GACGAACGCUGGCGGCGUGCUUAACACAUGCAAGUCGAACGGAAAGGCCCUGCUUUUGUUGGGUGCUCGAUUGGCGAACGGGUGAGUAACACGUGAGUAACCUGCCCUUGACUUUGGGAUAACUUCAGGAAACUGGGGCUAAUACCGGAUAGGAGCUCCUGCUGCAUGGUGUGGGUUGGAAAGUUUCGGCGGUUGGGGAUGGACUCGCGGCUUAUCAGCUUGUUGGUGGGGUAGUGGCUUACCAAGGCUUUGACGGGUAGCCGGCCUGAGAGGGUGACCGGCCACAUUGGGACUGAGAUACGGACCAGAAUCCUACGGGAGGCAGCAGUGGGGAAUAUUGCACAAUGGGCGGAAGCCUGAUGCAGCAACGCCGCGUGCGGGAUGACGGCCUUCGGGUUGUAAACCGCUUUCGCCUGAGACGAAGAGUGAGUGACGGUAAUGGGUAAAGAAGCACCGGCUAACUACGUG
RNAcentral lists this ribosomal RNA (468 nucleotides) under uncultured bacterium. Its description in RNAcentral is "partial 16S ribosomal RNA". It matches the Rfam family "Bacterial small subunit ribosomal RNA", at positions 28 to 507 of the family's 1533-position model. The record is from RNAcentral.